UACGUAGGGAACAAGCGUUGUCCGGAUUUACUGGGCGUAAAGGGCACGCAGGCGGUUUUUUAAGUCAGAUGUGAAAGGCCACAGCUCAACUGUGGACAUGCAUUUGAAACUGAAAGACUUGAGUAUUGGAGAGGCAAGUGGAAUUCCUAGUGUAGCGGUGAAAUGCGUAGAUAUUAGGAGGAACACCGGUGGCGAAGGCGGCUUGCUGGACAAAUACUGACGCUGAGGUGCGAAAGCGUGGGGAGCAAACAGG
Molecule: ribosomal RNA, 253 nt
Filed under: uncultured bacterium
Lineage: Bacteria
Description: partial 16S ribosomal RNA
Rfam family: Bacterial small subunit ribosomal RNA
Source: RNAcentral